RNAcentral lists this ribosomal RNA (207 nucleotides) under uncultured bacterium. RNAcentral describes it as "partial 16S ribosomal RNA". It matches the Rfam family "Bacterial small subunit ribosomal RNA", at positions 568 to 774 of the family's 1533-position model. The record is from RNAcentral.
CACGUAGGCGGCUUUCUAAGUCGGGGGUGAAAUCCUGGAGCUCAACUCCAGAACUGCCUUCGAUACUGGAAAGCUCGAGUCCGGGAGAGGAGAGUGGAACUGCGAGUGUAGAGGUGAAAUUCGUAGAUAUUCGCAAGAACACCAGUGGCGAAGGCGGCUCACUGGCCCGGUACUGACGCUGAGGUGCGAAAGCGUGGGGAGCAAACA